RNAcentral lists this ribosomal RNA (322 nucleotides) under uncultured bacterium. RNAcentral's name for it is "bacterial SSU rRNA". It matches the Rfam family "Bacterial small subunit ribosomal RNA", at positions 29 to 336 of the family's 1533-position model. The record is from RNAcentral.
AACGAACGUUGGCGGCGUGGAUUAGGCAUGCAAGUCGAACGCGAAAGGGUAGCAAUACCCGAGUAAAGUGCGAACGGGUGAGUAACGCGUAGGAAACCUGCCUUCGAGUGGGGGAUAACAUUCCUAACGGGGUGCUAAUACCGCGAUGAAACUGCGGGAUCGCAUGGUUCUGCAGUCAAAGGUGGCCUCUAUUUAUAAGCUACCGCUCAAAGAUGGUCCUGCGUCCCAUUAGCUAGUUGGCGGGGAACGGCCACCAAGGCAUCGAUGGGUAGCCGAUCUGAGAGGAUGACCGGCCACACUGGGACUGAGAUACGGCCCAGAC